This 457-nucleotide long non-coding RNA is filed under the name Heterocephalus glaber (naked mole-rat). RNAcentral's name for it is "lncRNA (ENSHGLG00000046833.1)". Lineage: Eukaryota; Metazoa; Chordata; Mammalia; Rodentia; Bathyergidae. The record is from RNAcentral.
GAAAGCUGAGCACUCGGACGCACUUUCACAGGCCCUCCUUCACACUGGACUCAUUUGGCUUCUCAGUACUCGGAAGAGUGGACACUUCCACACAAGGUGUCUGUUCCCAGCAUAAUCCUCAUAAAAUGCACAUGAGUUCUUCAAUUCUGUGGUCUUCAGUAUUGCUGAAUGUGAAGACAUAAGUCAUUCAUGGGAGAAAAGGCCAAGAAUUAGAGCACACUGCAAUUAAACAGCCAUAGUUUCUGAGUAUAUUGACUGCAACAAUGUGCCACUGGCUGAUUCUCCUUUUAAUACUCACUAGAAAGAAUCGUUUGAAAGUAAGAAAAUUGUUUCACAUGAAUCAUUAUAUUCUUUGAACUGUUGCUGCAAUUUGAAAUUUUACAAAACUUGUUAAUUUUUACAAUUUGAAAGUUUCUUAAACUAUGUAUGUCGAUUUCCUAAGUUCUGAAAAAAGAAG